GUAGGCUGNAACCCGCCUGCAUGAAGUUGGAAUUGCUAGUAAUCGCGGAUCAGCAUGCCGCGGUGAAUACGUUCCCGGGGAUUGUACACACCGCCCGUCACACCAUGAGAGUCGGGAACACCCAAAGUCCGUAGUCUAACCGCAAGGAGGACGCGGCCUAAGGUGGGUUCGAUAAUUGGGGUGAAGUCGUAACAAGGUACC
This 201-nucleotide ribosomal RNA is filed under the name uncultured bacterium. Its description in RNAcentral is "partial 16S ribosomal RNA". It matches the Rfam family "Bacterial small subunit ribosomal RNA", at positions 1300 to 1500 of the family's 1533-position model. The record is from RNAcentral.